UACGGGGGGGGCAAGCGUUGUUCGGAAUUACUGGGCGUAAAGGGCUCGUAGGCGGCCAACUAAGUCAGACGUGAAAUCCCCAGGCUCAACCUGGGAACUGCGUCUGAUACUGGUUGGCUUGAAUCCGGGAGAGGGAUGCAGAAUUCCAGGUGUAGCGGUGAAAUGCGUAGAUAUCUGGAGGAAUACCGGUGGCGAAGGCGGCAUCCUGGACCGACAUUGACGCUGAACGGCGAAAGCUAGGGGAGCAAACGGG
RNAcentral lists this ribosomal RNA (253 nucleotides) under uncultured bacterium. RNAcentral's name for it is "partial 16S ribosomal RNA". It matches the Rfam family "Bacterial small subunit ribosomal RNA", at positions 524 to 776 of the family's 1533-position model. The record is from RNAcentral.